Molecule: long non-coding RNA, 750 nt
Organism: Notolabrus celidotus (New Zealand spotty)
Lineage: Eukaryota; Metazoa; Chordata; Actinopteri; Labriformes; Labridae
Exons: 2
Source: RefSeq, a predicted model, not a curated record
GAGCAGGAGGAGGAGGAGGAGGAACAUGAUCUAUAGACUGAUAUACAGUCAGUUAAUAAAGACGCCCCCUGGUGGACAUCAGGAGGAUACAGGUGUGAAAGACAAACAUGCUCUCCUCUUCGGCCCUGAUAAUCCAUCAGACCUUACAGGGCUUCCGUACAUUUAAACAUCCAACCUGCCUAAACCUCCUCGUCCUCACACUUACACAUGUUCCUGUUAUCACUCCAUCACAGCUGAGAUCUCCUCACUCUCUCAGGAAGUAUCUGAUCCCUCUCCAGCUGCCUGCUCAUCAUUGAUUCAGAGCUCUGAUGAUCAAUCCUUGAUUUCUCUGUAACUCGUGUUUUAUAUGACGAUAUGAAAUGUUCAUUUGAUUCAUGUUUGUCAGAUUUUUUAACUUUCCUUUACUGUGUUACAGACCUUCAUGUAUUUUACUCUUUAACUUUGCUGACUUGUAUUAUAACAGUUUGAAUCUGUCUUUCUGUCACUGUUACAUAAACACAGUCACUGAAUGUUCUUUAACAGUUCUCACACUGUUAUAUCUUCAGAAACUCUCGUUCUUAAAGUGCAUAUUUUAGAUUUUUGGUGGAUUUCUGGAUUUAAAUGUCGACAGAACAGAAACAUAGUUUGAAAAGUUAAAUGAAGUCAAAGUUUAAACUCACAGAAGCUGCCUGGUUGAUGAGCUGACUACCUCAAACACACGAUAUGAUGCUCUGCUGUCUGCAUUUAAUAAAUCUGUCUGCUUGAACUCAA